GGGCUCUGUUCAUUUUCAUCUGUCACCGGCCGUAGUCCUCAUCUCAAUGGUCCACGCCCAUCUUUAAUAUGUGUUCCGGAUCUCACACCCUAACCGCCCCCAACCAGCAAGAUGCUUAGUAGACGGAUGCGGUGCUGACAUCUUCUCUUGUAAUGACACUGUCAACAGACGGAGAUGUGCCACGGUGAAUUUUCCGGAUCCCGAGGACACGGGGCAUAUUAGAUUUGAAAUGAAGCUGAAGAGGCAGGCGUAGCUCAGUGAUAAAGUGGCUCAAGGAUAAAGCGUUUGCCUUGUGUCUGGAGGCCCUGGGCUCCACACCCCUCUCACCAAAAAAGAAAAAGAAAAAAAGAAAAAUUUAAAGUUGAC
This 366-nucleotide long non-coding RNA is filed under the name Mus spicilegus (steppe mouse). RNAcentral describes it as "lncRNA (ENSMSIG00000015234.1)". The record is from RNAcentral. Lineage: Eukaryota; Metazoa; Chordata; Mammalia; Rodentia; Muridae.